AGCAGUAGCCACGGGAAUACGAAGGGGGCUAGCGUUGUUCGGAUUUACUGGGCGUAAAGCGCACGUAGGCGGAUCGAUCAGUCAGGGGUGAAAUCCCAGAGCUCAACUCUGGAACUGCCUUUGAUACUGUCGAUCUGGAGUAUGGAAGAGGUGAGUGGAAUUCCGAGUGUAGAGGUGAAAUUCGUAGAUAUUCGGAGGAACACCAGUGGCGAAGGCGGCUCACUGGUCCAUUACUGACGCUGAGGUGCGAAAGCGUGGGGAGCAAACAGGAUUAGAUACCCCAGUAGUCCCUGUCUCUUAUAC
This 303-nucleotide ribosomal RNA is filed under the name uncultured bacterium. RNAcentral's name for it is "partial 16S ribosomal RNA". It matches the Rfam family "Bacterial small subunit ribosomal RNA", at positions 507 to 807 of the family's 1533-position model. The record is from RNAcentral.